CUGUGACUACAACAAAGCUCAAGAUCUCAGCCAACUAACUCACAGUCCUUACCCAGAUAAAUCUCUUAGAAAAUUCAGACUGGUUGAAAAAUAGGUGAAACAAAUGAGAGGAGGAUGAUCUACUUUACACUUACUACUGCAAAUAACUGACUGUAUUGCACUGUACAGCUGACUGUACAGCUCCUUGGUGAAUAACACAGACAUAUGAGUUGAUUCAUCCUCACACACAGAAAUAUUUUCUCAUCUGAUGGAAUAUGUCAUCAUAUGUUCAAAGAUGGCAAUGGAAUGUGAAAUGAGAGAAAUAUGAAACAAACAAAAAGACUGAUGCAGAUAAUUCACAUGCUUCAACUUCCAAAAUAGCAAGAGAAUGACUACAAGAUCUUACUGGAGAAAUGAGCCAGCAAAUAAUGACAAGAAUCCAGCAUUGUAGUAAAUAUGAAAUGUGUAAGUUACAGCCAUUAGGUAAAAUUGCUACCUUUAAAACUGUAUGAAUAACAACACAUCUGAAUAUACGAAACAGGAAAACUUUCAGCAUGUCAUGAAUACAAAGAACAUUAAUUCUCUUCUCAGUUCGGACACAGUGGCAUUAAUCUAAAGAUAAGCAUAAUAAAAU
Numida meleagris (helmeted guineafowl) is the source of this 613-nucleotide long non-coding RNA. RefSeq lists it as uncharacterized. NCBI's taxonomy places the organism in Eukaryota, Metazoa, Chordata, Aves, Galliformes, Numididae. The record is from RefSeq and is a predicted model, not a curated record. The transcript has 5 exons.